RNAcentral lists this ribosomal RNA (448 nucleotides) under uncultured bacterium. RNAcentral's name for it is "bacterial SSU rRNA". It matches the Rfam family "Bacterial small subunit ribosomal RNA", at positions 331 to 794 of the family's 1533-position model. The record is from RNAcentral.
CCAGACUCCUACGGGAGGCAGCAGUGGGGGAUAUUGCACAAUGGGGGAAACCCUGAUGCAGCGACGCCGCGUGGGCGAAGAAGUAUUUCAGUAUGUAAAGCCCUAUCAGCAGGGAAGAAGAAAUGACGGUACCUGAGUAAGAAGCACCGGCUAACUCCGUGCCAGCAGCCGCGGUAAUACGGGGGGUGCAAGCGUUGUCCGGAAUCAUUGGGCGUAAAGCGUUCGUAGGCGGCAAGGUAAGUCUGAUGUUAAAGCCCGGGGCUCAACUCCGGUUCGGCAUUGGAUACUGGCAAACUAGAAUGUGGUAGAGGUAAAGGGAAUUCCUGGUGUAGCGGUGAAAUGCGUAGAUAUCAGGAGGAACAUCGGUGGCGAAAGCGCUUUACUGGACCAUUAUUGACGCUGAGGAACGAAAGCCAGGGGAGCAAAUGGGAUUAGAUACCCCCGUACA